RNAcentral lists this long non-coding RNA (214 nucleotides) under Elaeis guineensis (African oil palm). RNAcentral's name for it is "long non-coding RNA (EGUI_LNC041662)". The record is from RNAcentral. Lineage: Eukaryota; Viridiplantae; Streptophyta; Magnoliopsida; Arecales; Arecaceae.
GGGGGACCAGUUAUUGCCUGCACUGUUCAUCCUUGUCGCAGAUACGUUGUGCAAACUCCUCAAGCUGGUAGGAUCCAUGGGCAUUAUUAAAGGAAUUGGCUUCCAAGGCAUCGAAGGUCUCCAAUUUGCUAAUGAUACUUUGCUCUUGUAUGCUGGGGAGAAAGAAAGCCUUGUUGCUGCAAAGGCCAUCUUACUUGCCUUGAGGGCGCACCCG